Molecule: ribosomal RNA, 480 nt
Filed under: uncultured organism
Description: partial 16S ribosomal RNA
Rfam family: Bacterial small subunit ribosomal RNA
Source: RNAcentral
CGUACACUCCUGCGGGAGGCAGCAGUGGGGAAUUUUGGACAAUGGGCGAAAGCCUGAUCCAGCCAUGCCGCGUGCAGGAUGAAGGCCUUCGGGUUGUAAACUGCUUUUGUACGGAACGAAACGGCCUUUUCUAAUAAAGAGGGCUAAUGACGGUACCGUAAGAAUAAGCACCGGCUAACUACGUGCCAGCAGCCGCGGUAAUACGUAGGGUGCAAGCGUUAAUCGGAAUUACUGGGCGUAAAGCGUGCGCAGGCGGUUAUGUAAGACAGUUGUGAAAUCCCCGGGCUCAACCUGGGAACUGCAUCUGUGACUGCAUAGCUAGAGUACGGUAGAGGGGGAUGGAAUUCCGCGUGUAGCAGUGAAAUGCGUAGAUAUGCGGAGGAACACCGAUGGCGAAGGCAAUCCCCUGGACCUGUACUGACGCUCAUGCACGAAAGCGUGGGGAGCAAACAGGAUUAGAAACCCCAGUAGUCCCAUGAU